Molecule: long non-coding RNA, 231 nt
Organism: Hibiscus syriacus
Lineage: Eukaryota; Viridiplantae; Streptophyta; Magnoliopsida; Malvales; Malvaceae
Exons: 3
Source: RefSeq, a predicted model, not a curated record
GCAACUUACCGUCGAUUGGUCGACGAGGAUGAGAAUUGCUAUAGGAUCUGCGAAAGGACUGGCAUAUCUUCACGAGGACUGUCAUCCUAAGAUCAUUCAUCGUGAUAUUAAGGCGGCUAAUAUUCUUUUGGAUUACAAGUUUGAGGCUAAGGUUGCUGAUUUUGGACUCGCAAAGUUUUCUUCCGAUUUCAACACUCAUGUCUCCACUAGGGUGAUGGGUACCUUUGGGGG